This 484-nucleotide ribosomal RNA is filed under the name uncultured bacterium. RNAcentral's name for it is "partial 16S ribosomal RNA". It matches the Rfam family "Bacterial small subunit ribosomal RNA", at positions 30 to 507 of the family's 1533-position model. The record is from RNAcentral.
AUUGAACGCUGGCGGCAGGCCUAACACAUGCAAGUCGAGCGGAUGAAGGGAGCUUGCUCCUGGAUUCAGCGGCGGACGGGUGAGUAAUGCCUAGGAAUCUGCCUGGUAGUGGGGGAUAACGUCCGGAAACGGGCGCUAAUACCGCAUACGUCCUGAGGGAGAAAGUGGGGGAUCUUCGGACCUCACGCUCUCAGAUGAGCCUAGGUCGGAUUAGCUAGUUGGUGGGGUAAAGGCCUACCAAGGCGACGAUCCGUAACUGGUCUGAGAGGAUGAUCAGUCACACUGGAGCUGAGACACGGUCCAGGGUCCUACGGGAGGCAGCAGUGGGGAAUAUUGGACAAUGGUCGAAAGCCUGAUCCAGCCAUGCCGCGUGUGUGAAGAAGGUCUUCGGAGUGUAAAGCACUUUAAGUUGGGAGGAAGGGCAGUAAGUUAAUACCUUGCUGUAUUGACGGUACCAACAGAAUAAGCACCGGCUAACUUCGUG